GAUGUCAAAUAUGAUGGCUCAACCAUCAAGAGGCGUUGAAAACUGUUUAUCUAGAAUCUCGGAGAGGUAAGUGGAAUUCCAUGUGUAGCGGCGGAAUGCGUAGAUAUAUGGAGGAACACCAAUGGCGAAGGCAGCUUACUGGACGAAGAUUGACGCUGAGGUGCGAAAGCGUGGGUAGCAAACAGGAUUAGAUACCCCUGGUAG
This 204-nucleotide ribosomal RNA is filed under the name uncultured bacterium. RNAcentral describes it as "partial 16S ribosomal RNA". It matches the Rfam family "Bacterial small subunit ribosomal RNA", at positions 591 to 793 of the family's 1533-position model. The record is from RNAcentral.